GCAAGUCGAGCGGAGCGAAGGUGCUUGCACCUUAGCUUAGCGGCGGACGCGUUUAUAAUGCUUAGGAAUCUGCCUAUUAGUGGGGGACAACCUUUCGAAAGGAACGCUAAUACCGCAUACGUCCUACGGGAGAAAGCAGGGGAUCUUCGGACCUUGUGCUAAUAGAUGAGCCUAAGUCGGAUUAGCUAGUUGGUGGGGUAAAGGGCUACCGGGGCGACGAUCUGUAGCGGGUCUGAGAGGAUGAUCCGCCACACUGGGACUGAGACACGGCCCAGACUCCUACGGGAGGCAGCAGUGGGGAAUAUUGGACAAUGGGCGAAAGCCUGAUCCAGCCAUGCCGCGUGUGUGAAGAAGGCCUUUUGGUUGUAAAGCACUUUAAGCGAGGAGGAGGAGCUUCAGGUUAAUACCCUGGAUGCUUGGACGUUACUCGCAGAAUAAGCACCGGCUAACUCUGUGCCAGCAGCCGCGGUAAUACAGAGGGUGCAAGCGUUAAUCGGAUUUACUGGGCGUAAAGCGUGCGUAGGCGGCUAAUUAAGUCAAAUGUGAAAUCCCCGAGCUUAACUUGGGAAUUGCAUUCGAUACUGGUUAGCUAGAGUAUGGGAGAGGAUGGUAGAAUUCCAGGUGUAGCGGUGAAAUGCGUAGAGAUCUGGAGGAAUACCGAUGGCGAAGGCAGCCAUCUGGCCUAAUACU
Molecule: ribosomal RNA, 690 nt
Filed under: uncultured bacterium
Lineage: Bacteria
Description: bacterial SSU rRNA
Rfam family: Bacterial small subunit ribosomal RNA
Source: RNAcentral